Molecule: ribosomal RNA, 250 nt
Filed under: uncultured bacterium
Lineage: Bacteria
Description: partial 16S ribosomal RNA
Rfam family: Bacterial small subunit ribosomal RNA
Source: RNAcentral
UACAGAGGGUGCGAGCGUUUUCCGGAAUCACUGGGCGUAAAGGGCGCGUAGGCGGCUCGGUAAGCCGAGUGUGAAAGCCCCGGGGCUCAACCCCGGACGGCACGCGGGACGUGUCGGGCUGGAGCAUGGUAGAGGCGAGUGGAAUUCCUGGUGUAGCGGUGGAAUGCGUAGAGAUCAGGAAGAACACCGGAGGCGAAGGCGGCUCGCUGGGCCAUGACUGACGCUGAGGCGCGAAAGCGUGGGGAGCAAA